AUUGAACGCUGGCGGCAGGCUUAACACAUGCAAGUCGAGCGGGGGAAGGUAGCUUGCUACCGGACCUAGCGGCGGACGGGUGAGUAAUGCUUAGGAGUCUGCCUAUUAGUGGGGGACAACAUCUCGAAAGGGAUGCUAAUACCGCAUACGUCCUACGGGAGAAAGCAGGGGAUCUUCGGACCUUGCGCUAAUAGAUGAGCCUAAGUCGGAUUAGCUAGUUGGUGGGGUAAAGGCCUACCAAGGCGACGAUCUGUAGCGGGUCUGAGAGGAUGAUCCGCCACACUGGGACUGAGACCCGGCCCAGACUCCUACGGGAGGCAGCAGUGGGGAAUAUUGGACAAUGGGGGGAACCCUGAUCCAGCCAUGCCGCGUGUGUGAAGAAGGCCUUAUGGUUGUAAAGCACUUUAAGCGAGGAGGAGGCUACUUUAGUUAAUACCUAGAGAUAGUGGACGCUACUCGCAGAAUAAGCACCGGCUAACUCUGUGCCAGCAGCCGCAGUAA
This 501-nucleotide ribosomal RNA is filed under the name uncultured bacterium. RNAcentral's name for it is "partial 16S ribosomal RNA". It matches the Rfam family "Bacterial small subunit ribosomal RNA", at positions 30 to 523 of the family's 1533-position model. The record is from RNAcentral.